UACGUAGGGGGCAAGCGUUGUCCGGAAUCAUUGGGCGUAAAGCGCGUGUAGGCGGCUCGAUAAGUCUGCUGUGAAAGUCCAGGCUCAACCCUGGGAUGCCGGUGGAUACUGUCGAGCUCGAGUCCGGAAGAGGCGAGUGGAAUUCCUGGUGUAGCGGUGAAAUGCGCAGAUAUCAGGAGGAACACCGGUGGUGAAGGCGGUUCUCUGGGCAUGUCCUGACGCUGAGAAGCGAAAGCAUGGGGAGCAAACAGG
RNAcentral lists this ribosomal RNA (252 nucleotides) under uncultured bacterium. RNAcentral's name for it is "partial 16S ribosomal RNA". It matches the Rfam family "Bacterial small subunit ribosomal RNA", at positions 524 to 776 of the family's 1533-position model. The record is from RNAcentral.